UCUCUCUUUUCCCUCUCCCCCCUCUCGCUCUCCUCUCUCUCUCCCCUCUCCUGUCUCUCCCUCUCUCUCCCCCCCCCUCCCUCUCAACUCUCUUUCCCUCUCUCUCUUUCAUAUCUGCAUCUCCCAAUAAGUGUCAGAAGGACAGGGGAGUUUCACACCGGAGCGUCCGCAUCAGUAACACCCACUCUCGCCAGCAGAGCUUCGGGCUUUUUAUAAAUGCCGACAAGAACCGGAGGGGACGUUGAUGGCACAGCCGGAGGAACCUGAGUCCUCAUUGUCCCUCCCUCCGCCCGGUUCUCAUCGGGGAGCUGCUCUGGGUGCCCAGGUCCAACUAAAGCCCUGGCAGGUUUACAGAACUUCGGCAAUUAUUUCCAUCACUUCCGUGCGGGAUUGCAAAAUCUGGAUCUCUCCUGCCCCUCUAACAAAAAAGCCGGAUUGAUUAAAUAGGUUGGGAUUCCCAGAGGACUGUUCUCCGUGUGUAGGCGGGGAUGAAAACAAUCUUGUGCCUCAACCAGCCACCACUUCCUGAAGAACUACCUCGGGUUGUCAUAACCACACUUGUGGACGGAGGCUGCAAGCUGGCUCCCAAGUAUGCCGAGAGCUCGCCAUCCGCUGUUGCGCUGUGAGGGCCUGUUAAAGCUACAUCUGCUUGCCACGAGGAUGGGCCGUCCGUCUGUCACCGAGUACCAUGGUAGGUGGGACUGCAAAGAAGACCGUGAGGAAUCAAUCCUAGCCCUGCUGGGGAUUGUCGGGACUGUCCUGAACUUGGUUGUGAUCAUCUUUGUCUACAUUUACACUUCUGUUUAACUGGAGAACGACCCCAGAAGCGGCUGGCUCCGCAACCGGACUCGUCGCUUUGUAAUGAAGGCUCACGGCCUGCCAACAAUGCUUACCCCAGCGACAUCAGCGGCGGUCAAGCUUCACGACUGUAACAUGCGGACGAUCCUCGGGUUUUCAUCAGGAAUGGCUUUCGUCCUCCCAAUUUCAAAACAAGAAUUAUGACGUCCAGCCAUCUGGGAAGGCUGGCCUCUUCGGUGACGCUUAAGUGUACCGUAAUGUAAAUAGUAUUUAUUCACCACUUUAUGAGGUACACCUGCUCGUUAAUGCACUUAUCUAAUCAUCCAAUCAGGUGGCGGCAACUAAAUGCAUCAAAGCUCGCAGACACGAUCAAGCGGUUCAGUUGUUGUUCAGACUGGAUAUCAGAACGGGGGAAGAAAUGUGAUCUUAAGUGACUUUGACCGUGGAACAAUUGUUGGUGCCAGAUGGGGUGGCUUGAGUAUCUCAGAGGUGGCUGGUCUCCUGGGAUUUUCAUGCUCAGCGGCCUCUAGAGUUUACAGAGAACAGUGCGAGAAACAAACAAGUGACUGGCACAGAGAGAGGUCGGAGGAGAAUGGCCAGACUGGUUCAGGCUGACAGGAAGGCGACAGUAACUCUAAUAACCACAGUGGCAUCGAGAAAACAACCUCUCCCUCAAUGUCUCAGAAACAAAGGAGCUGGUCCUGGACGACAGGAGGAAUGGAGACGGGCUAAACUCCUAAUGACAUCAAUGGACCAGGGGUUGAGAAGGUGAACUGCUUUAAGUUCCUCGACAUCCCCAUCCCCGAGGAUCUCACGUGGUCUGUACACACCGGCUGUGUGGCACAACAGCACCUCUUUCAUCUCAGACGGUUGAGGAAGUUUGGUAUGGGCCUCCAUAUCCUAAGGACUUCCUACAGGGGCACAAUUGAGAGCAUCCUGACAGGCUGCAUCACUGCCUGGUACGGGAACCGUACCUCCCUCAAUCGCAGGACUCUGCAGAGAGUGGUGCGGACAGCCCAGCACAUCUGAAGUUCUAAACUUCCCAUAAUUCAGGACAUUUACAGAGACAGGUGUGAGAAAAGGGCCUGAAGGAUCAUUGGGGACCCGAGUCACCCCAACCACAAACUGUUCCAGCUGCUACCAUCCGGGAAACGGUACCGCAGCAUAAAAACCAGGACCAACAGGCUCCGGGACAGCUUCUCUCACCAGGCCAUCGGACUGAUAAAUUCACACUGACACAACUGUAUUUCUAUGUUAUAUUGACUGUCCUGUUGUGCAUACUAUUUAUUACAAAUCACUAUAAACGGCACAUUGCACAUUUAGACGGAGACGUAACGUAAAGAUUUUUACUCAUGGUUUACAGCCAGCCCGGAGGUUUCAUCGCAGAAAGCGGAAGAGCACUGGCAGGUCUCUGGGAGUCGCCGACAGCAAGGCAAAAACCCAGAUCUCAAGAGGCCGUAAGGAGCCAGAGAGCAGAGAAGGCCAACCGAGGCCCAGCGUCGGCCAGAACCGUUCACGCUUCCGAGGCCCGCGGUCGGUUCGGAGCCGCUGCUCCUCGUGAGGGCGCGUCUUCGUAUUGGCCAGGCGGCUCGCGACCGGCUCCUUGGGGAAUUCUGGCGGACUGCCUGCUUUCUUCCACGGCUAUGCCUGUAAGUUUACCGCGACAAGCACUGGCCAGUCUGAGGGGACUCAAUCAGGAUUGGAAUCUGGUUUAACAUCUGCGGCACAUGUUGUGAAAUUUGUUAACUUUACGUCAACAGUGCAAUCAAAUACAUGAUAAAUAUAAAAACUAUUAAUAUAUUGGUAAUACAGAAUUACUGUAAAUAUAGACAUAGAUAUAAUAAUUAAAUAAUAAUGAGAAAAAAUGAAUUACAGUAGGUAUAUAUGUGUAGGCCUCUGUUAGUCUCGAUAGACCAUGGAUUUGCACUUUGGAAAGUUUCCAUGGCGCAAGCCUGGGCAGGGUUGUGUGGGAGACCGGCAGUUGCCCAAGCUGCAAGUCUCCCCUCUCCAUGCCACCGAUGUUGUCCAAGGGAAGGGUAUUAACACCCAAGCAGCUUGGCACCGGUGUCGUCGCAGAGCAAUGUGUGGUUGAGUGCCUCGCUCAAGGACACACAUGAACAGCCUCAGCCAAGGCUCGAACUAGCGACCUUCAGAUCACUAGAUCAAUACCUUAACCACUUGGCUACGCGCCAACACAAAGUUUAUAUAUAUAUUAAACAGUUAAAUAAGUAGUGCAAAAACAGAAAUAAAAAAAGUAGUGAGGUAGUGUUCCUGGGUUCGAUGUCCAUUCAGAAAUUGGACGGCAGAGGGGAAGAAGCAGUUCCUGAAUUGCUGUGUGUGUGUCUUCGGGCUCCUGUACCUCCUCCCUGAUGGUAGCAGUGAGAAGAGGGCAUGCCCUGGGUAUUGGGGGUCCGUAAUGAUGGACGCUGCCUUUCUGAGGCACCGCUCCUUGAAGGUGGCCUAGUCACGACGGAGGUUGGUGCCCAUGAUGGAGCUGACUGGGUUUACAACCCUCUGCAGCUCACUUCGAUCCUGUGCAGUAGAUUCCCCCCACCCCAUACCGGACGGUGGUGAAUCAAGUUAGACCUGGACUCAUCCCCACUUCCCACUUUCUCAGAAGGACUGCUUACAAUGACGACACUUCCAGUUUCUUCCCCCCGAACCCUGGGCACGGUGGUAUAUGGUCACGCACUUGGCUAGAAGGAAUAUUUUCUAAAUUGGGAGUGAAUUCGAAAGUUGGGGAGACCUAGGGCCAGGAUUCCCUGGAGAUGAACUUCAGCUGGGGUGGGGGGGUGGUGUAAGGAAGGCAAACGCAACGUUGGCAUUGGUCUCCAGAAAAGCAGGCACCUCAUACAAAGGGAUUGGGCAGACCACACCUGGGGUAUUGAGAGCAGUCUGAACCCCUCACCUGAGACAGGACGUGCUGACUUCAGAGAGGAAGCUCAUGAGAGCGACCCCGGGAACGAAGGGGUUAAUCUAUGAGCCGCAGACGCUGAACGCCGGAGGAACUCAGCAGGCCAGGCAGCAUCGACGGGGGUGAACGAACCGUUAACGCUUCGAGCUGACGGCCCUUCUCCGGGACCAGGAG
Long non-coding RNA from Hypanus sabinus (Atlantic stingray), 3886 nucleotides. RefSeq lists it as uncharacterized. NCBI's taxonomy places the organism in Eukaryota, Metazoa, Chordata, Chondrichthyes, Myliobatiformes, Dasyatidae. The transcript has 3 exons. The record is from RefSeq and is a predicted model, not a curated record.